UGAGGAAUAUUGGACAAUGGGCGCAAGCCUGAUCCAGCCAUGCCGCGUGCAGGAUGACGGUCCUAUGGAUUGUAAACUGCUUUUUGUACAGGAAGAAACAGUUCUACGUGUAGAACCUUGACGGUACUGUAAGAAUAAGGAUCGGCUAACUCCGUGCCAGCAGCCGCGGUAAUACGGAGGAUCCAAGCGUUAUCCGGAAUCAUUGGGUUUAAAGGGUCCGUAGGCGGUUAGAUAAGUCAGUGGUGAAAGCCCAUCGCUCAACGGUGGAACGGCCAUUGAUACUGUCUGACUUGAAUUAUUAGGAAGUAACUAGAAUAUGUAGUGUAGCGGUGAAAUGCUUAGAGAUUACAAGGAAUACCAAUUGCGAAGGCAGGUUACUACUAAUGGAUUGACGCUGAUGGACGAAAGCGUGGGUAGCGGACAGGAUUAGAUACCCGGGUAGUCCCUGAGCGGGCUGGCAAGGCGCAU
RNAcentral lists this ribosomal RNA (468 nucleotides) under uncultured bacterium. RNAcentral's name for it is "bacterial SSU rRNA". It matches the Rfam family "Bacterial small subunit ribosomal RNA", at positions 355 to 825 of the family's 1533-position model. The record is from RNAcentral.